This 467-nucleotide ribosomal RNA is filed under the name uncultured bacterium. Its description in RNAcentral is "partial 16S ribosomal RNA". It matches the Rfam family "Bacterial small subunit ribosomal RNA", at positions 28 to 507 of the family's 1533-position model. The record is from RNAcentral.
GACGAACGCUGGCGGCGUGCUUAACACAUGCAAGUCGAACGGAAAGGCCCUGCUUUUGUGUGGUGCUCGAGUGGCGAACGGGUGAGUAACACGUGAGUAACCUGCCCUUGACUUUGGGAUAACUUCAGGAAACUGGGGCUAAUACCUGAUAGGAGCUCCUGCUGCAUGGUGGGGGUUGGAAGUUUCGGCGGUUGGGGAUGGACUCGCGGCUUAUCAGCUUGGUGGUGGGGUAGUGUCUUACCAAGGCUUUGACGGGUAGCCGGCCUGAGAGGGUGAGCGGCCACAUUGGGACUGAGAUACGGCACAGACUCCUACGGGAGGCAGCAGUGGGGAAUAUUGCACAAAGGGCGGAAGCCUGAUGCAGAAACGCCGCGUGCGGGAUGAAGGCCUUCGGGUUGUAAACCGCUUUAGCCUGUGACGAAGCGUGAGUGACGGUAAUGGGUAAAGAAGCACCGGCUAACUACGUG